This 4515-nucleotide long non-coding RNA is filed under the name Sus scrofa (pig). Its description in RNAcentral is "lncRNA (ENSSSCG00035062940.1)". Lineage: Eukaryota; Metazoa; Chordata; Mammalia; Artiodactyla; Suidae. The record is from RNAcentral.
CUAAUACACUUCCCUCAUUGUAAUUCUAUUGCAAACCUGAUGUCUAGCAAAUAUAAAAAUAAUAGUAAUGCUACUAUUUUGAAUAAUUAUGCAUGGUAAUAAAUUUGUAUGAUAGAUUAUAAAGAUAAUAUAAAUUAGAUUACCAUAGAAGAAAGGCACCAGUAAACUAUGAAAAAUGAAGCUGACAUAAAACUUUAUUCUUAAUCUUUCCCAAGGUUUAGGGGUCAUUUAAAUAAAUGAACUACCCAAAAACCGUGUUUAAAGAUAAUUUAUUGUAUAUUAGAAACUUCAAAAAAGUCAUGUUCAUCAGUCUUAAUCACUAAGUCACUAGUUUUCAAAUAUAUUAUAGAUGGGCAUAGUACUAGCAAUCAACAUGGAAAGCACUGGAAAACAUUUGAGUCAUGCUGAAAUUUGAAUUUGGGGCAUAACAGAAUUAUUGUGAAGAAAUACUAGAGCCAAGCUUCUGUUAUAGACAAAAUGAUUAUAACUGAUUGUCUGAGAUCAAAAGAUAAUUCAAUCUUAAUAAUUUAAAUAAGUUGGCACAUAAUAUUUAGAAGAAACUUGAGGUAUCAAUUCUGUAUCUGCAGGAGUUCUUUUUAAAAAAUGUUCACAUACACCCCAAAUUAAAAUCACUUAGCUACCAAAUGAAAUUUAAAGUUACUCCCUGGGGUCAAUCAAAUGGGAAAAGUAAAUCUGCUUACUUAACCAAAAAGGGUCAGUUGAAUUUAUACUUAUUUUAAAUGAUAAUGGAAGAGUUCUCUUUUGGCACAGUGAGUUCAAGGACCAGCCCUGUCACUGCAUCGGCUUGGUAUGGGUUUGAUCUUUGGCCUGGGAACACUAUAUUACUUGCCAGCCAGAUUGGAGCUACCAGCUGAGGAAAGAAGGAUUAUACCAAAAUGGGUGCAUAGGCUUCUAUUUGCAAUAAAGUGGAUCACUGUUACACGAUAACAACCAUUCAUUCCGCUGCAUUUCCAGCAUAAAGAAAAAUCUAGAAAUACAUCAGGUUGCAUGGGAAUUACCUUUUAGAAACCUUUCUUAGAAACAUAGCUUUCUAAGAAAGGUAUGUUCUCAUUAUUAAGUUACUUCUCAUUUUUUUUGACAUUGUUUUGUAGAUUAGUUGCAAUUGCUUUUCAGUGAUCUAAACCUGAAAUCACUUAUUGUUGACUGGGAAACUGUUAUCUGUCAAUAGAUGUGUCAUUAUCUUUGCAUUUACUCAGAUAUUUACAUUUACUCCUUUAUAUAUAGCUUACAUUAACUGAAAUAUACUAUGAUGCUUCUGGACCUCAUUCCCGAGGCAGAAAUGUCCAUUGUUUUUGUCAUAGAUUAUUCUCCAAGUGGCCAAGUAUAAUUGCAUUGUUAUAUUGGCAAAUGACUCCAUAGAACUAAGUAUAAGAUUUCACUGCACACUUUCAGUUUUGGGGAAAAAAAGUCCAAGUUAAUAGAAACAUGAUUAGAAACAGAAGGUAUCUUGGCUCUCAAUUUGGUUAAUAAAAAAAUUUUAAAAGGCAUAAACCUUUUACAGUUUUCCACCAAUACCUUGAAUUAAACUCCUUUUUUUAAAUCUUUUUUUAAAAUUGAAGUAUAGUUCAUUUACAAUGUUGUGUUAGUUUCAGGAGUACAGCAAUAUGAUUCAGUUAUGCUUAGAUAUAUACAUACCUAUUUUUGGUGAGCUCCAAAUAGAACAAAUUUUCUAGAAGAACAUGUUAAAUUAAUGGUUCUCCAAGAGCAUGACUGAAAAGUAUGCUGACCCUGUGCUUAUCAGUGCCUUUUGUGGUCAGUAGUGAUUUUUAAAGGAUGAUAAAGCUGUUAUUUUGACAUCAUACAGUUGUUCCCAAUCCCCUACAUUUCUCAACCAGAGAAUUUUGAAUUAACUCCUUGAAUACUGUGUUGCAUACUCACCAACAACUCAUUUCAUGAUUGGAAUUUAUUCUCCCAGCCUCUAUAUGAAAUGACUUUAGGGAGUUAUAUAAAUAUGUUGAAGAUCUUCAGAAGGAAGCCCAUUCCGAUUAGCUAAAAUCCAAAAAUCUUAAAGGACUAAGAAUAUCAUAUGCUUCCAGGUUUUCUGAACUUGCAUGAUCAUGAGUUCCCUGGAUCACUUGUUACACUAUAGAUUCCCAUGGCCCUUCUCAAGCAGUUUUGUCUACAGAAACCUGGGAUAGGGACUAAGAAUAUCAAAUCCAACUUUAUGUAUUUGAGGCAAUUGGAAGUAAAAAAAAAAAAAAAUUCAAGAGUUUGGGAUAAGAUUAACUUGCUUUUGAGUACUCAGCAAGUUGAUGACAUAAAUCUAAAUGGAACCCAAUCCUCUCUCUCACCUCAUCCUGUUUCUGUUUUUGUGUGCGAUUAGGGUAUUUUGGUUCAAAAUAGGUUUCCUUUUUUUAAAAGACAAGUUAGCUAGGCAUAGCAUGUGUCUGAAGUGAUGCGUUUGAUUGACAAUGGAUAAAAAUAGUUGUUUUCUGUUGCCUAGAAGUGCAUGGUAAAGAGAGCAUAAACCUGGAAAGGACCCCAAGGUUUCUAGUUUAGCAUACCACUUGCUAGCAAGCACUACCCCUAAUGUCUCUUAGAUGGAGGAUUUAUUAAUUUCUCAAGGAAAGGCAUUUUUUUAACUGCCCCUGUUAAUCUAUCCCAGUGCUUAGUAUAGAAAUAAUCAUAAUUCGCACAAUUUUCAUAGUUAUCAUGUGCGUCCCUUUCCUUUCUUUUUCCUUGUUAGAAACAAAAUAUGGCAUUUUAAACUUAUUUGAAUAUUCCUCCAAUUCAUAAAGCAAUUACAUUGAACAAUAUAUAUACAUAUAGAUAACGUUUGUUAUUACAGAGAGAUGAAUAUUAACUUCUUAAAAAGCAAACACAAGCUGAAGAUGUACAGUAGUGGUUCAUACCUUUUUUUGAAACAAGAACUCCUGAAGUUCUAAGAAAAGAAAUCUGCCUAGAAACAUGUAACAUAUGCAUAUAACCCCAAAAUUUGUACAGGCUUUCAAGAAGUCAGGGACCCUGGCUUAAUAAACACAAAUGUGGUAGGAAGAAACCAUCCCUGAAAUACUAGAGUUUAGUACAUUUCCUCAUACAUUAAAAAGGCAAAUCAAAGCUCACAUAGUAUAAAGCUCUAAUUCAUUAAUAUUAUUUUAAAAAUCAGAAGAUAAAAUUGAACUAUACUGAUCAUGUAAUUAUACUGUUAAUCUCUGUAGCGUGAAAGUGAAUGUUAUAUUUCACCUGAAAAUAAGCACAAACUGAUUUUUAUUUUUCUUUAGUUUUUAACAAGGUUGAGCAAUGAACUCAUAUUUUCUAAUACUCUUGUGUAGAAUAUUCAUCUACAGGGGAAAAAAAAGGAGUGAUUAUCCUUAACUACAACGGGAGUUAGUGAUAAGACCAUCCCAUUGACUUCAUAAGAUUGUUCUUUGAAGGACUCAAAUACCCAAAUAUAAUGAUAGAGAAGCAUGAAUAGGAAGGAGAUGACUGUAUUGAAGUGAAAAACGUGGAGUUCCUGUUGUGGCUCAGCAGUUAAUGAAACUAACUAGUAUUCAUGAGGAUGCAGGUUCGAUCCCUGGCCAUGCUCAGUGGGUUAAGGAUCUGGCACUGCCCUGAGCUGUGGUGUAGGUCGCAGACGCAGCUCGCAUCCCACGUUGCUGUGACUGUGGCAUAGGCUGGCAGCUAUAGCUCAGAUUUGACCCCUAGCCUGGGAACUUCCAUGUGCUGCAAGUGCAGCCCUAAAAAGGCAAAAACAAGCAAACAAACAAAAACAAACCUUGCAUUAGCCCAUGUCUAGGGAUUAUGCACAUUACACCUCGUGUUUGCUUCCAUCUGCCAUUUCCUUCUUGGAUCACCUAUUUCUAAAAGAAUUCAUGUUUCAAAGCAACCCCAAUACUUCUUGACUUGAUCUUUUACUAAGAGAAUUAAAUCCAAGUCAAAUACCCAUGGUAAGGGGAAAUCUUUAUAGGCAUGCUUUAAUUCACAAAAUUGACAUAUUUAUGAAACUUUCUAGUCAUGAGAAAAGCACUUCAGUCACUUCAGUCAUGAGAAAAGCAUACAACUUUAAGACAUCUUAUGAAUAAUCAUUUCAUAAAAUGGAAAAUGUUUACUGUCCCCACCCUUCUCUCACCAUUGUGUUUUUCUCUUCUGUAAUACUGAGCAACUAAUUUUCUCACAACACCAUUUCCCCAUUGACAGGAUUCUAUUGGGCUGCACAGUGAAAUCUCUACCUUCCACAGCUGCAUCAAGUUGCCUCCUUUCCCUGCUGUUUAAGCAUUCUACUCUUGGCAAGAAUUUUCCUUAAGAGUUCAAUCUCUGUAGAUCUUCUUCAUGCGUGGUAUCUAGGAUAUGUGUUGAGUGUUCUUAAAAAGCUUGUGCAUAUAAUACAUCAAACUAGAAUUGCUAUAGUGAUAGAAGCUCAAUAGGAAAAAUCCACCCUGCCCACCAUCAUGAAGCCUCUCUCACUUCCUAUUUUAUCAUUCCCAUGAGAUAUGAAGUCUUACAAUCUUCUACCCCCUUUAAUCAAAUUCCAUUAUCAUGAAUAAAUAUUUAUUA